This 1020-nucleotide ribosomal RNA is filed under the name Corniculariella rhamni. RNAcentral describes it as "SSU rRNA". It matches the Rfam family "Eukaryotic small subunit ribosomal RNA", at positions 79 to 1120 of the family's 1831-position model. Lineage: Eukaryota; Fungi; Ascomycota; Leotiomycetes; Helotiales; Dermateaceae. The record is from RNAcentral.
CCGUGAAACUGCGAAUGGCUCAUAAAUCAGUAUCGUUUAUUGAUAGUACUUACUACUGGAUAACCGUGGUAAUCUAGAGCUAUACAUGCUAAAACCUCGACUUCGGAGGGUGUAUUAUAGAUAAAAACCAAUGCCCUUCGGGGCUCUUGGUGAUCAUAAUAACUUAACGAAUCGCAUGGCCUUGUGCCGGCGAUGGGUUCAUUCAAAUUUCUGCCCUAUCAACUUUCGAUGGUAGGAUAGUGGCCUACCAUGGUUUCAACGGGUAACGGGGAAUUAGGGUUCUAUUCCGGAGAGGGAGCCUGAGAAACGGCUACCCACAUCCAAGGAAGGCAGCAGGCGCGCAAAUUACCCAAUCCCGACACGGGGAGGUAGUGACAAUAAAUACUGAUACAGGGCUCUUUUGGGUCUUGUAAUUGGAAUGAGUACAAUUUAAAUCCCUUAACGAGGAACAAUUGGAGGGCAAGUCUGGUGCCAGCAGCCGCGGUAAUUCCAGCUCCAAUAGCGUAUAUUAAAGUUGUUGCAGUUAAAAAGCUCGUAGUUGAACCUUGGGCCUGGCUGGCCGGUCCGCCUCACCGCGUGCACUGGUCCGGCCGGGUCUUUCCUUCUGGGGAGCCGCAUGCCCUUCACUGGGUGUGUCGGGGAACCAGGACUUUUACUUUGAAAAAAUUAGAGUGUUCAAAGCAGGCCUAUGCUCGAAUACAUUAGCAUGGAAUAAUAGAAUAGGACGUGUGGUUCUAUUUUGUUGGUUUCUAGGACCGCCGUAAUGAUUAAUAGGGAUAGUCGGGGGCAUCAGUAUUCAAUUGUCAGAGGUGAAAUUCUUGGAUUUAUUGAAGACUAACUACUGCGAAAGCAUUUGCCAAGGAUGUUUUCAUUAAUCAGUGAACGAAAGUUAGGGGAUCGAAGACGAUCAGAUACCGUCGUAGUCUUAACCAUAAACUAUGCCGACUAGGGAUCGGGCGAUGUUAUCUUUUUGACUCGCUCGGCACCUUACGAGAAAUCAAAGUCUUUGGGUUCUGGGGG